AUUCUUUUAAUUUAAAUUAUAAGAAUAAAUUAGGUACUUAAAGAAUUACUUGUUGACGUAGAGUAUAAUAGGUAUAGAGGACGUGGGUGCAACUCCCACCACCUCCACCAUAAACACAUUGUAGGAGAUUAGUAUGUUAAAAUGGUUUNUAAAUUUGUUUACUAUCAAACACCAAGGUGAUUUAAGUAAACAUAGACUACAUACUACAAAGUACGAAGACCUUUGUAAAUAAUGUGCUUAUGGGGGGUGUGGUAGGUUCGACUCGUAUUGAAAGACUUUAUAGAGAGUAAUAGUUGGCGAACUCAAACGCAAUUUUAAAUGGCAACGAAAAUUUUGCUAUUGCUGCCUAGUUAAUAGGUGACGGAGUUUUGUGGUGUACUUGGCAACAGAAACACCACGCU
Molecule: transfer-messenger RNA, 401 nt
Filed under: Candidatus Pelagibacter sp. TMED197
Lineage: Bacteria; Pseudomonadati; Pseudomonadota; Alphaproteobacteria; Candidatus Pelagibacterales; Candidatus Pelagibacteraceae
Rfam family: Alphaproteobacteria transfer-messenger RNA
About the family: Bacterial tmRNA, also known as 10Sa RNA or SsrA, is named for its dual tRNA and mRNA-like properties. Its role is to liberate the mRNA from a stalled ribosome.
Source: RNAcentral